CAGUCGAGAAUCUUCGGCAAUGGGCGAAAGCCUGACCGAGCAAUGCCGCGUGCGGGAUGAAGGCCCUCGGGUUGUAAACCGCGAAAGUGAGGAGGAAGGCCCUGCGAAGAGCAGGUUUUGACCGAUCCACAGUAAGGACGGGCUAAGUUCGUGCCAGCAGCCGCGGUAACACGAACCGUCCAAACGUUAUUCGGAAUUAUUGGGCUUAAAGGGUGCGUAGGCGGCGCUUUAAGUCGGGUGUGAAAUCCUUCGGCUCAACCGAAGAAUUGCGCCCGAUACUGGAGUGCUAGAGGGAGACAGGGGUGAGCGGAACUGAUGGUGGAGCGGUGAAAUGCGUUGAUAUCAUCAGGAACACCGGUGGCGAAAGCGGCUCACUGGGUCUCUUCUGACGCUGAGGCACGAAAGCCAGGGUAGCGAACGGGAUUAGA
RNAcentral lists this ribosomal RNA (428 nucleotides) under uncultured bacterium. Its description in RNAcentral is "bacterial SSU rRNA". It matches the Rfam family "Bacterial small subunit ribosomal RNA", at positions 352 to 782 of the family's 1533-position model. The record is from RNAcentral.